This is a long non-coding RNA of Callorhinchus milii (elephant shark), 187 nucleotides long. RefSeq lists it as uncharacterized. The transcript is spliced from 4 exons. The record is from RefSeq and is a predicted model, not a curated record. NCBI's taxonomy places the organism in Eukaryota, Metazoa, Chordata, Chondrichthyes, Chimaeriformes, Callorhinchidae.
CAGACUGGAUGGUGGCUUUCCUUGUGGCGUUCAGCCUUGUGCUUGGAGCAGUUGGUGUGUUGGUGUUCUUCUGCAGAAAACGAUUGAAAAAAGUUAAAGUUUAUGAAAAUCUAAAAAAGGGAUUUAAAAAUCUGGAUAAUGAACUGAAAUCUGCCAAACAAGACCAAAAAUACAUGAAAAAAACACU